GAUGAAGAACGUAGCGAAAUGCGAUAAGUAAUGUGAAUUGCAGAAUUCAGUGAAUCAUCGAAUCUUUGAACGCACAUUGCGCCCCUUGGUAUUCCGGGGGGCAUGCCUGUUCGAGCGUCAUUACAACCCUCAAGCUCUGCUUGGUAUUGGGCUCCGUCCUCCUCGGACGCGCCUCAAAGACCUCGGCGGUGGCGUCUUGCCUCAAGCGUAGUAGAAACACCUCGCUUUGGAGUGCAUGGCGUCGCCCGCCGGACGAAACCUUUUGUAUUUUCUCAAAGGUUGACCUCGGAUCAGGUAGGGAUACCCGCUGAACUUAAGCAUAUCAAUAAGCGGAGGA
This 337-nucleotide unclassified non-coding RNA is filed under the name soil metagenome. Its description in RNAcentral is "partial contains 5.8S ribosomal RNA, internal transcribed spacer 2, and large subunit ribosomal RNA". The stretch from base 1 to 120 matches the Rfam family "5.8S ribosomal RNA", at positions 35 to 154 of the family's 154-position model. The record is from RNAcentral.